This 502-nucleotide ribosomal RNA is filed under the name uncultured Acidobacteriota bacterium. RNAcentral's name for it is "bacterial SSU rRNA". It matches the Rfam family "Bacterial small subunit ribosomal RNA", at positions 355 to 848 of the family's 1533-position model. Lineage: Bacteria; Pseudomonadati; Acidobacteriota. The record is from RNAcentral.
UGGGGAAUUUUGCGCAAUGGGCUAACGCCUGACGCAGCAACGCCGCGUGGAGGAUGAAGGUCUUUGGAUUGUAAACUCCUGUCAGCAGGGAAAAAGGGAGUCGGCCUAAUACGUCGGUGACUUGAUUGUACCUGCAGAGGAAGCCCCGGCUAACUCUGUGCCAGCAGCCGCGGUAAUACAGAGGGGGCAAGCGUUAUUCGGAAUUAUUGGGCGUAAAGGGCGCGUAGGCGGCUUUUCAAGUGACGGGUGAAAUCCCUCGGCUUAACCGAGGAACUGCCUGUCAGACUGGAAGGCUUGAGACCGGGAGAGGUGAGUGGAAUUCCCAGUGUAGCGGUGAAAUGCGUAGAUAUUGGGAGGAACACCAGUGGCGAAGGCGGCUCACUGGACCGGAACUGACGCUGAGGCGCGAAAGCGUGGGGAGCAAACAGGAUUAGAUACCCUGGUAGUCCACGCCGUAAACGAUGAGUGCUUGGUGUAGCGGGUAUCGACCCCUGCUGUGACC